Long non-coding RNA from Salvia hispanica, 391 nucleotides. RefSeq lists it as uncharacterized. Lineage: Eukaryota; Viridiplantae; Streptophyta; Magnoliopsida; Lamiales; Lamiaceae. The record is from RefSeq and is a predicted model, not a curated record.
UGUCGAGAGGAAUAUCUUUUAUUGUGCUUUUCUAGUUACUUUGUGUAUAACCUCUCUGUUAAAAUCAAAAGCUAUCAUGAAAAUGUCAGGUUUCUUUGCUCUCGUGUAUCCAUAUGUCAGAGGUUUCUUUGUUUCAGUUUUGUUUCAGAGCGAGCCAUAUCGGCCACUACGUGAUCAAGCCAUUAACAAUUUGGUCACAACGUCCAGUUCACCUCAAGACAUCAUGCAAUAUGAUAACAUCAAUAUAUGGCAGGCGAUGCAGAAGGCCGACAAAAGGAAAUGAGAUCUGUAGAUGUCAAUGGCUCUGAGAAUAAAUUCGAAUGUGAAUUUUGUAUUAACGGUUCCUUUAUUUUUUAUAUAUAUGAAGUACUAAUAUUUUUUUGGCCCCACA